AUGGUUGUCAAAAGUUCACAAAUACAUCAUCAUUCAAGUUCAAUGUCAAAUUCAAGUGAUAUUUCAAAUUUCAUUUAUUUUGAUCCAAGGUUCUUUACAAAAGAAAUUUCAAGAUUCCUUGGAAAAAACCUUCAAACUUCAUUACUAAUUCAUCGUAAUUCAUCCACAAAUUUCAAGCAACUUUACAUUAUUUAUCGUUUACAAGUACACUCAAGUUUUCUUUACAAUACAAGAAAACAAAAAGAAGAAUGUACAUCCUAA
Non-coding RNA from Vicia faba (fava bean), 261 nucleotides. The record is from the annotation of a GenBank genome assembly. Lineage: Eukaryota; Viridiplantae; Streptophyta; Magnoliopsida; Fabales; Fabaceae.